UAGCAAUACGGCGGCGGCAGACGGGAGAGUAACACGUGGGAACGCGCCCUUCGGUUCGGAAUAACUCAGGGAAACUUGGGCUAAUACCGGAUACGCCCUUACGGGGAAAGAUUUAUUGCCGAAGGAACGGCCCGCGUCCGAUUAGCUUGUUGGUGAGGUAACGGCUCACCAAGGCGACGAUCGGUAGCUGGUCUGAGAGGAUGACCAGCCUCACUGGGACUGAGACACGGCCCAGACUCCUACGGGAGGCAGCAGUGGGGAAUAUUGGACAAUGGGCGCAAGCCUGAUCCAGCCAUGCCGCGUGGGUGAUGAAGGCCCUAGGG
RNAcentral lists this ribosomal RNA (323 nucleotides) under uncultured bacterium. RNAcentral's name for it is "bacterial SSU rRNA". It matches the Rfam family "Bacterial small subunit ribosomal RNA", at positions 81 to 422 of the family's 1533-position model. The record is from RNAcentral.